GGCGAGUGAAGCGGGAAGAGCUCAAAUUUGAAAUCUGGUGGCCUCAGGUCAUCCGAGUUGUAAUCUAUAGAAGUGUUUUCCGUGCUGGCUCAUGUACAAGUCCCUUGGAACAGGGCGUCAUAGAGGGUGAGAAUCCCGUCCUUGACAUGAACUACCAGUGCUCUGUGAUACAUUUUCAACGAGUCGAGUUGUUUGGGAAUGCAGCUCAAAAUGGGUGGUAAAUUCCAUCUAAAGCUAAAUAUUGGCGAGAGACCGAUAGCGAACAAGUACCGUGAGGGAAAGAUGAAAAGCACUUUGGAAAGAGAGUUAAACAGUAUGUGAAAUUGUUGAAAGGGAAACGAUUGAAGUCAGUCGUGCUCUUUGGAUUCAGCCGGUUCUGCCGGUGUACUUCCUUUGAGUGGGGUCAACAUCAGUUUUGAUCGCUGGAUAAAGGCUGGAGGAACGUAGUACCCUCGGGUAAACUUAUAGCCUCCUGUCACAUACAGUGGUUGGGACUGAGGAACGCAGCACGCCUUUAUGGCCGGGAUUCGUCCACGUACGUGCUUAGGAUGUUGACAUAAUGGCUUUAAACGACCCGUCUUGAA
RNAcentral lists this ribosomal RNA (584 nucleotides) under Filobasidium floriforme. RNAcentral describes it as "eukaryotic LSU rRNA". It matches the Rfam family "Eukaryotic large subunit ribosomal RNA", at positions 88 to 658 of the family's 3401-position model. Lineage: Eukaryota; Fungi; Basidiomycota; Tremellomycetes; Filobasidiales; Filobasidiaceae. The record is from RNAcentral.